Molecule: transfer RNA, 84 nt
Filed under: Felis catus (domestic cat)
Lineage: Eukaryota; Metazoa; Chordata; Mammalia; Carnivora; Felidae
Rfam family: tRNA
About the family: Transfer RNA (tRNA) molecules are approximately 80 nucleotides in length. Their secondary structure includes four short double-helical elements and three loops (D, anti-codon, and T loops).
Source: Rfam by way of RNAcentral
GCCUGGGUGGCUCAGUUGGUUAAGCGGCCGACUUCGGCUCGGUCAUGAUCUCGCGGUCUGUGGGUUCGAGCCCCACGUCAGGCU